This 640-nucleotide ribosomal RNA is filed under the name human gut metagenome. RNAcentral's name for it is "bacterial SSU rRNA". It matches the Rfam family "Bacterial small subunit ribosomal RNA", at positions 879 to 1520 of the family's 1533-position model. The record is from RNAcentral.
AGUACGGCCGCAAGGCUAAAACUCAAAGAAAUUGACGGGGGCCCGCACAAGCGGCGGAGCAUGCGGAUUAAUUCGAUGCAACGCGAAGAACCUUACCUGGGCUUGACAUGUUCCCGACCGCUCCAGAGAUGGGGCUUCCCUUCGGGGCGGGUUCACAGGUGGUGCAUGGUCGUCGUCAGCUCGUGUCGUGAGAUGUUGGGUUAAGUCCCGCAACGAGCGCAACCCUUAUUGUUAGUUGCCACCAUUCAGUUGGGCACUCUAGCAAGACUGCCGGUGACAAACCGGAGGAAGGUGGGGAUGACGUCAAAUCAUCAUGCCCCUUAUGACCUGGGCUACACACGUGCUACAAUGGGAAGUACAACGAGUUGCGAAGUCGCGAGGCUAAGCUAAUCUCUUAAAGCUUCUCUCAGUUCGGAUUGUAGGCUGCAACUCGCCUACAUGAAGCCGGAAUCGCUAGUAAUCGCGGAUCAGCACGCCGCGGUGAAUACGUUCCCGGGCCUUGUACACACCGCCCGUCACACCACGAGAGUUUGUAACACCCGAAGUCGGUGAGGUAACCUUUUUGGAGCCAGCCGCCUAAGGUGGGAUAGAUGAUUGGGGUGAAGUCGUAACAAGGUAGCCGUAUCGGAAGGUGCGGCUG